RNAcentral lists this ribosomal RNA (301 nucleotides) under uncultured bacterium. Its description in RNAcentral is "partial 16S ribosomal RNA". It matches the Rfam family "Bacterial small subunit ribosomal RNA", at positions 509 to 809 of the family's 1533-position model. The record is from RNAcentral.
CAGUCGCCGCGGUAAUACGUAGGUGGCAAGCGUUGUCCGGAAUUAUUGGGCGUAAAGGGCUCGCAGGCGGUUUCUUAAGUCUGAUGUGAAAGCCCCCGGCUCAACCGGGGAGGGUCAUUGGAAACUGGGAAACUUGAGUGCAGAAGAGGAGAGUGGAAUUCCACGUGUAGCGGUGAAAUGCGUAGAGAUGUGGAGGAACACCAGUGGCGAAGGCGACUCUCUGGUCUGUAACUGACGCUGAGGAGCGAAAGCGUGGGGAGCAAAUGGGAUUAGAUACCCCCGUAGUCCCUGUCUCUUAUAA